UUCUCUAUGUUUCACAGUCCUGGGGGGUUUUUCCUCCUUCCCACCCUCACCAGACGAUCCUUUUUUGGGGGCCCCGUGGAUCUAGGAAAGCAGCCCAACCCUAUCCUAGAGGUUCGAGCCGUCAGACCUCCCCCCCCUUUGAGAGAUGGCAGUGUGGGGUAGUGGGUAGCCCAAGGUCGAGUCCUCAUCUUUCUCCCCCCCCCAAUCGUCUUGGCCAGGCAGACCCUGCUCCCUCCCGUCUCAGCCAUCAACCUCUGGUGUGUGGCACCCUUUUUCAGACAAGCCAGCUGUGGCAGCAAACUUGAACCCAGAGCCCGCCCCCCUCUAGAUGCCAUAACCACUGCCCCGCACUGCCUGUUGAGUCACUCCAGCCGCCCAGCCUGGUUCUCUGCCUGCCUGGGCCUCAUGCUUUUUUUCUCUCUCUCUUCCUCUCUUCAGCUGACCCAGGGAUUUCCGCUCUGCAGCUGUCUCAGCACGGGCAUGAUGGGGAGCUCCGGCGGCCUCUUACUCCCUGUCCUGGGCUUCGUCUUGCUCGCGUCCUCACUGGCCGUCCGUGGAGCCCCUGUCCUUUCUGCUCCCGAAGUGGUCUCGAUGGAAAACGGCAGGUCGAAAAACAUCACAGUGACUUUAAGCACCCCAUCCAAUGAAACGCUGGGAAUCACGUUUAACAUGACGUACGUGUCGAGGGAAAAUGUCACCAUCGUGGAGCUGCCGGAGCAAGUAAGUGGCCGACCCCGACCCCACGGGAGAGCCUUCGCAGGAAGGACCGGGGAGCUGGGGUGGGGCAGAUCCCUGCACUGCAAAAUGAGCCCAGCUUCAAAGCCUAUCGUUGCUCUGUGGGACUGGGAAAUGCCUUCGGCGCGGGGCCGCCCUGGGCGAAAGGGGGGGGGGAGAGGCCGGCUCUUCUGCCCUGCCUGA
RNAcentral lists this long non-coding RNA (918 nucleotides) under Pogona vitticeps (central bearded dragon). Its description in RNAcentral is "lncRNA (ENSPVIG00000008716.1)". The record is from RNAcentral. Lineage: Eukaryota; Metazoa; Chordata; Lepidosauria; Squamata; Agamidae.